This 87-nucleotide small RNA is filed under the name Bombyx mori (domestic silkworm). RNAcentral's name for it is "Bm_183". The record is from RNAcentral. Lineage: Eukaryota; Metazoa; Arthropoda; Insecta; Lepidoptera; Bombycidae.
AAUGGGUUAAAACGGUUACCACUUACUAUCAAGUAAGACUUUUUCGAAAACCCCCUUACUGCUAUUUAGCGGUUCCUCGGGUUCUUU